RNAcentral lists this transfer RNA (85 nucleotides) under Chondromyces crocatus. RNAcentral describes it as "tRNA-Leu". It matches the Rfam family "tRNA". Rfam says of the family: Transfer RNA (tRNA) molecules are approximately 80 nucleotides in length. Lineage: Bacteria; Pseudomonadati; Myxococcota; Polyangiales; Polyangiaceae. The record is from RNAcentral.
GUCCACGUGGCGAAACUGGCAAACGCAGCGGUCUCAGACACCGUGCCUCCGGGCAAUGAGGGUUCGAUUCCCUCCGUGGACACCC